CGUAGGGGGCUAGCGUUGUCCGGAUUCAUUGGGCGUAAAGCGCGUGUAGGCGGCCAGAUAGGUCUGCUGUGAAAACUCGAGGCUCAACCUCGAGCUGUCGGCGGAAACCAUCUGGCUAGAGUCCGGAAGAGGAAAGUGGAAUUCCCGGUGUAGCGGUGAAAUGCGCAGAUAUCGGGAAGAACACCCGUGGCGAAGGCGGCUUUCUGGGACGGUACUGACGCUGAGACGCGAAAGCGUGGGGAGCAAACAGGAUUAGAUACCCUGGUAGUCCACGCCGUAAACGAUGGGUGCUAGGUGUGGGGAGUGUCGACUCUCUCCGUGCCGAAGCUAACGCAUUAAGCACCCCGCCUGGGGAGUACGGCCGCAAGGCUA
Molecule: ribosomal RNA, 372 nt
Filed under: uncultured organism
Description: bacterial SSU rRNA
Rfam family: Bacterial small subunit ribosomal RNA
Source: RNAcentral